GAUGAAGAACGUAGUGAAAUGCGAUAAGUAAUGUGAAUUGCAGAAUUCAGUGAAUCAUCGAAUCUUUGAACGCACAUUGCGCCCGCCAGUAUUCUGGCGGGCAUGCCUGUCCGAGCGUCAUUUCAACCCUCGAACCCCUCCGGGGGGUCGGCGUUGGGGACCUCGGGAGCCCCUAAGACGGGAUCCCGGCCCCGAAAUACAGUGGCGGUCUCGCCGCAGCCUCUCCUGCGCAGUAGUUUGCACAACUCGCACCGGGAGCGCGGCGCGUCCACGUCCGUAAAACACCCAACUUCUGAAAUGUUGACCUCGGAUCAGGUAGGAAUACCCGCUGAACUUAAGCAUAUCAAUAAGCAGAGGA
This 358-nucleotide unclassified non-coding RNA is filed under the name soil metagenome. RNAcentral's name for it is "partial contains 5.8S ribosomal RNA, internal transcribed spacer 2, and large subunit ribosomal RNA". The stretch from base 1 to 120 matches the Rfam family "5.8S ribosomal RNA", at positions 35 to 154 of the family's 154-position model. The record is from RNAcentral.